CCUAACACAUGCAAGUCGAACGGCAGCACAGGAGAGCUUGCUCUCUGGGUGGCGAGUGGCGGACGGGUGAGGAAUACAUCGGAAUCUACCUUUUCGUGGGGGAUAACGUAGGGAAACUUACGCUAAUACCGCAUACGACCUACGGGUGAAAGUGGGGGACCGCAAGGCCUCACGCGAUUAGAUGAGCCGAUGUCCGAUUAGCUAGUUGGCGGGGUAAUGGCCCACCAAGGCGACGAUCGGUAGCUGGUCUGAGAGGAUGAUCAGCCACACUGGAACUGAGACACGGUCCAGACUCCUACGGGAGGCAGCAGUGGGGAAUAUUGGACAAUGGGCGCAAGCCUGAUCCAGCCAUACCGCGUGGGUGAAGAAGGCCUUCGGGUUGUAAAGCCCUUUUGUUGGGAAAGAAAUCCUAUCGGUUAAUAACCGGUGGGGAUGACGGUACCC
Molecule: ribosomal RNA, 444 nt
Filed under: uncultured Pseudomonadota bacterium
Lineage: Bacteria; Pseudomonadati; Pseudomonadota
Description: bacterial SSU rRNA
Rfam family: Bacterial small subunit ribosomal RNA
Source: RNAcentral